RNAcentral lists this ribosomal RNA (481 nucleotides) under uncultured bacterium. RNAcentral's name for it is "bacterial SSU rRNA". It matches the Rfam family "Bacterial small subunit ribosomal RNA", at positions 903 to 1397 of the family's 1533-position model. The record is from RNAcentral.
AAAUGAAUUGACGGGGGCCCGCACAAGCAGCGGAGCGUGUGGUUUAAUUCGAUGAUACGCGAAGAACCUUACCUGGGUUUGACAUAUAGGUAGUAGAGAAGUGAAAGCGGAUCGACCCUUCGGGGAGCCUAAACAGGUGCUGCAUGGCUGUCGUCAGCUCGUGUCGUGAGAUGUUGGGUUAAGUCCCGCAACGAGCGCAACCCUCGUCGUUAGUUACAAGUGUCUAACGAUACUGCCGGUUUCAAACCGGAGGAAGGUGGGGAUGACGUCAAGUCAGCAUGGUCUUUAUAUCCAGGGCUACACACACGCUACAAUGGUCGGUACAAUGGGUUGCCACAGCGCGAGCUGGAGCUAAUCCCCAAAGCCGGUCUCAGUUCAGAUUGCAGUCUGCAACUCGACUGCAUGAAGGCGGAGUUGCUAGUAACCGCGCGUCAGCCAUAGUGCGGUGAAUGCGUUCCCGGGCCUUGUACACACCGCCCGU